AGUGAACGCUGGCGGUAGGCCUAACACAUGCAAGUCGAACGGCAGCACAGUAAAAGCUUGCUCUUACGGGUGGCGAGUGGCGGACGGGUGAGGAAUACAUCGGAAUCUACUUUUUCGUGGGGGAGAACGUAGGGAAACUUACGCUAAUACCGCAUACGACCUACGGGUGAAAGAAGGGGAUCUUCGGACAUUGCGCGAUUGAAUGAGCCGGUGUCGGAUUAGCUAGUUGGUAAGGUAACGGCACACCAAGGCUGCGAGCUGUAGCUGCUCUGAGCAGAGGGUACCCCACACUGGUACUGAGACACGGACCAGACUGCUACGGGAGGCAGCAGUAAGGAGUAUUGGUCAAUGGAGGGAAGUCUGACCCAGCCAUGCCGCGGGCAGGAAGACGGCCCUAGGGGUUGUAAACUGCUUUUAUACGAGAACAAACGUCGGUACGGGUACCGGUCUGAGUGUACCGAAAGAAUAAGGAUCGGCUAACUCCGUG
RNAcentral lists this ribosomal RNA (487 nucleotides) under uncultured bacterium. RNAcentral describes it as "partial 16S ribosomal RNA". It matches the Rfam family "Bacterial small subunit ribosomal RNA", at positions 29 to 507 of the family's 1533-position model. The record is from RNAcentral.